AGAGUUUGAUUCUGGCUCAGGAUGAACGCUAGCUACAGGCUUAACACAUGCAAGUCGAGGGGCAGCAUUGGAGUAGCAAUACUCAGAUGGCGACCGGCGCACGGGUGAGUAACACGUAUCCAACCUGCCGCUUACUCGGGGAUAGCCUUUCGAAAGAAAGAUUAAUACCCGAUGGUAUAAAGAGUUCGCAUGUUCUCUUUAUUAAAGAAUUUCGGUAAGCGAUGGGGAUGCGUUCCAUUAGAUAGUUGGCGGGGUAACGGCCCACCAAGUCUACGAUGGAUAGGGGUUCUGAGAGGAAGGUCCCCCACAUUGGAACUGAGACACGGUCCAAACUCCUACGGGAGGCAGCAGUGAGGAAUAUUGGUCAAUGGACGAGAGUCUGAACCAGCCAAAAGUAGCGUGAAGGAUGACUGCCCUAUGGGUUGUAAACUUCUUUUAUAAGGGAAUAAAGUGAGGGACGUGUCCCUUUUUGUAUGUACCUUAUGAAUAAGGAUCGGCUAACUCCGUGCCAGCCGCCGC
This 519-nucleotide ribosomal RNA is filed under the name uncultured bacterium. Its description in RNAcentral is "bacterial SSU rRNA". It matches the Rfam family "Bacterial small subunit ribosomal RNA", at positions 8 to 518 of the family's 1533-position model. The record is from RNAcentral.